RNAcentral lists this ribosomal RNA (292 nucleotides) under uncultured bacterium. RNAcentral's name for it is "partial 16S ribosomal RNA". It matches the Rfam family "Bacterial small subunit ribosomal RNA", at positions 505 to 796 of the family's 1533-position model. The record is from RNAcentral.
GUGCCAGCCGCCGCGGUAAGACAGAGGGUGCAAACGUUGUUCGGAAUUACUGGGCGUAAAGCGUGUGUAGGCGGCCUUGCAAGUCGGAUGUGAAAGCCCCGGGCUCAACCCGGGAAGUGCACUCGAUACUGCAGGGCUCGAGUGUCGGAGAGGUCGGUGGAAUUCUCGGUGUAGAGGUGAAAUUCGUAGAUAUCGAGAGGAACACCGGUGGCGAAGGCGGCCGACUGGACGAACACUGACGCUGAGACACGAAAGCGUGGGGAGCAAACAGGAUUAGAUACCCUGGUAGUCC